Long non-coding RNA from Papaver somniferum (opium poppy), 597 nucleotides. RefSeq lists it as uncharacterized. The transcript is spliced from 3 exons. The record is from RefSeq and is a predicted model, not a curated record. NCBI's taxonomy places the organism in Eukaryota, Viridiplantae, Streptophyta, Magnoliopsida, Ranunculales, Papaveraceae.
UUGUUAUCCAAUUUUAUAUUUUCCGAUUAUAUUUUACCAAUUGAUUUGAUUUCAUCACAGGAUGAGUUAUUUUCUUUUUAGAAGUAGAAGUGCAGAAAUGGAUUGACAUCAAAGUUUUUACGUUCCUUUAUUUAAUAUCUGCAACAAGUGGAGUUUUGAUUUUUGGGAAACUUUGGGAAGAUCAAUUUACGGCUUCGGUUGUGCAAAUGAAACUAACUGUUACACCCGCUCAUACUGUUAGAGCUUCUCCAUGAGGAUCCCCUAAAUGCCGUUUAGAACUCUUGGCUGUUCUUGCAGAGACGAAUUUGCCAUCUCUCAGUGGGUCUUGCCAUGUCCCCUCUGCAGGGACGAGACCAUUUUUAGGCAGUCUAGACCAGGCGAACGCGACUGAAGGGUUGGUACAAAUAUUGCAUACGUAUGUCAACUACCAAAUCACUUUGAACCCUUUUAACAUGAAGCUAAUACAACCGACAAUCAUCACAACAACUUGCAUCCACUACAAUGGAGUUACAUAUGAUGGCAGUAUAAGCACUCAAAUGCUGGUUGAGCUUUAAGAUAUAAUGAUGGGAAAAAAGCCAGGUUAAGGUCUGGAUGGUU